UAAAUCUGGUUUUUUCUUUCUUCUCUCAACAGCCGUGUGCCAUAGCUUUCCAUCGAUGGCUUUUGUGUUAUUCUACGAUGGAAAUAAUGUGAUUUUUAGUCUCACUUUAUACACGUUUUGGGCUGCUAAAAGAGGUCACGAUUUCAAUUUCCAAAGGCCAUUCUUGUUUGGUGCUGUUGUUGUACUUUUGCUGGUUGCGCUGAUUCAGGUUUGUGGAUCCACAUUUCCACUUUUGGAUCCAUCUUCAAUUAUCAAGUUCUUUUGGCCCUUUAAUUGAAUUCUGAUAAUCUUGUUUUUAUAUAUUUCAGAUUCUGUUUCCUCCGGGGAGGAUAUAUCUGUAAUGAUUUACGGAUGUCUGCUGUCAAUAAUAUUUUGUGGUUACAAAUCGGAGCAAGUGAAGCCAAAGUAGCAUAUGCACCGUAAGCAGGUAAACAUGGAUUAUUAAGUCGGUCUUGAAUUCUUAUAUUAAAGUUGAUGACGUCUAGUGUGAAGCUUUCUACCAAGUUUAUUUCAUACAAAAAAUCCAGAGUGGGUGGAAAGGAUGAAAAAAUGAGUAAUAUUGAGAUGAUAAGUACAUCAUAGUACUUUUUUUUUUUUUUUUCCAUUUUAGUUAUUAUUGGAUUCGGAGUACAAUUUAAAUUUGUUGUACCGUAUUUAUUGAAAAUAUUUUAGUUGUGG
Molecule: long non-coding RNA, 678 nt
Filed under: Olea europaea subsp. europaea
Lineage: Eukaryota; Viridiplantae; Streptophyta; Magnoliopsida; Lamiales; Oleaceae
Source: RNAcentral